Molecule: ribosomal RNA, 765 nt
Filed under: uncultured Bacteroidota bacterium
Lineage: Bacteria; Pseudomonadati; Bacteroidota
Description: bacterial SSU rRNA
Rfam family: Bacterial small subunit ribosomal RNA
Source: RNAcentral
ACGGGUGCGUAACGCGUAUACAAUCUGCCUUUCACAUAGGGAUAGCCCGAAGAAAUUUGGGUUAAUACCUAAUGGUAUAUAAGAGCGGCAUCGUUUUUAUAUUAAAGCUACGGUGGUGAAAGAUGAGUAUGCGUUCUAUUAGCUAGUUGGAGAGGUAACGGCUCCCCAAGGCGACGAUAGAUAGGGGUUCUGAGAGGGAUGUCCCCCACACUGGUACUGAGAUACGGACCAGACUCCUACGGGAGGCAGCAGUGAGGAAUAUUGGACAAUGGUCGGAAGACUGAUCCAGCCAUGCCGCGUGCAGGAUGAAGGUCCUAUGGAUUGUAAACUGCUUUUGUAAGGGAAGAAUAAGGAGUACGUGUACUUUGAUGACGGUACCUUACGAAUAAGCAUCGGCUAACUCCGUGCCAGCAGCCGCGGUAAUACGGAGGAUGCGAGCGUUAUCCGGAAUCAUUGGGUUUAAAGGGUCCGUAGGCGGGCUGAUAAGUCAGAGGUGCAAGCGCUUAGCUCAACUAAGCAACUGCCUUUGAAACUGUCAGUCUUGAAUGAUUGUGAAGUAGUUGGAAUGUGUAGUGUAGCGGUGAAAUGCUUAGAUAUUACACAGAACACCGAUAGCGAAGGCAUAUUACUAACAAUUUAUUGACGCUGAUGGACGAAAGCGUGGGGAGCGAACAGGAUUAGAUANCCUGGUAGUCCACGCUGUAAACGAUGGAUACUAGCUGUUUGGAGCAAUCUGAGUGGCUAAGCGAAAGUGAUAAGUAUCCC